Molecule: transfer RNA, 76 nt
Filed under: Bacteroidetes bacterium ADurb.Bin302
Lineage: Bacteria; Pseudomonadati; Bacteroidota
Also listed under: 3 other names
Description: tRNA-Gln
Rfam family: tRNA
About the family: Transfer RNA (tRNA) molecules are approximately 80 nucleotides in length.
Source: RNAcentral
AGCCCGGUGGUGUAGUGGCCAAGCAUAGGGGCCUCUGGAGCCCUUGACAAGAGUUCGAAUCUCUUCCGGGCUACCA